Molecule: ribosomal RNA, 497 nt
Filed under: uncultured bacterium
Lineage: Bacteria
Description: partial 16S ribosomal RNA
Rfam family: Bacterial small subunit ribosomal RNA
Source: RNAcentral
GAUGAACGCUGGCGGCGUGCCUAAUACAUGCAAGUCGAGCGAACGGACGAGAAGCUUGCUUCUCUGAUGUUAGCGGCGGAGGGGUGAGUAACACGUGGAUAACCUACCUAUAAUACUGGGAUAACUUCGGGAAACCGGAGCUAAUACCGGAUGAUAUUUUGAACCGCAUGGUUCAAAAGUGAAAGACGGUCUUGCUGUCACUUAUAGAUGGAUCCGCGCUGCAUUAGCUAGUUGGUAAGGUAACGGCUUACCAAGGCAACGAUGCAUAGCCGACCUGAGAGGGUGAUCGGCCACACGGGAACUGGGACACGGUCAAGACUCCUACGGGAGGCAGCAGUAGGGAAUCUGCCGCAAUGGGCGAAAGCCUGACGGAGCAACGCGGCGUGAGUGAUGAAGGUCUUCGGAUCGUAAAACUCUGUUAUUAGGGAAGAACAUAUGUGUAAGGAACUGUGCACAGCGUGACGGUACCUAAUCAGAAAGCCACGGCUAACUACGUG